This 466-nucleotide ribosomal RNA is filed under the name uncultured bacterium. RNAcentral's name for it is "partial 16S ribosomal RNA". It matches the Rfam family "Bacterial small subunit ribosomal RNA", at positions 28 to 507 of the family's 1533-position model. The record is from RNAcentral.
GAUGAACGCUGGCGGCGUGCUUAACACAUGCAAGUCGAACGGAAAGGCCCAAGCUUGCUUGGGUACUCGAGUGGCGAACGGGUGAGUAACACGUGGGUGAUCUGCCCUGCACUUCGGGAUAAGCCUGGGAAACUGGGUCUAAUACCGGAUAGGACGAUGGUUUGGAUGCCAUUGUGGAAAGUUUUUUCGGUGUGGGAUGAGCUCGCGGCCUAUCAGCUUGUUGGUGGGGUAAUGGCCUACCAAGGCGUCGACGGGUAGCCGGCCUGAGAGGGUGUACGGCCACAUUGGGACUGAGAUACGGCAGACUCCUACGGGAGGCAGCAGUGGGGAAUAUUGCACAAUGGGCGCAAGCCUGAUGCAGCGACGCCGCGUGGGGGAUGACGGCCUUCGGGUUGUAAACUCCUUUCGCUAGGGACGAAGCGUUUUUGUGACGGUACCUGGAGAAGAAGCACCGGCUAACUACGUG